AUAUCAAUAAGCGGAGGAAAAGAAACCAACAGGGAUUACCUCAGUAACGGCGAGUGAAGCGGUAAUAGCUCAAAUUUGAAAUCUGGUCUUUACGGGCCCGAGUUGUAAUUUGUAGAGGAUGUUUCGGGCAAGGCUUUGGCUUAAGUUUCUUGGAACAGAACGUCAUAGAGGGUGAGAAUCCCGUCUAGAGUCGUCGGCCGCGUCCAUGUGAAACUCCUUCGACGAGUCGAGUUGUUUGGGAAUGCAGCUCUAAAUGGGUGGUAAAUUUCAUCUAAAGCUAAAUAUUGGCCAGAGACCGAUAGCGCACAAGUACCGUGAGGGAAAGAUGAAAAGCACUUUGGAAAGAGAGUGAAACAGUAC
Molecule: ribosomal RNA, 360 nt
Filed under: uncultured fungus
Lineage: Eukaryota; Fungi
Description: eukaryotic LSU rRNA
Rfam family: Eukaryotic large subunit ribosomal RNA
Source: RNAcentral